UACGGAAGGCAGCAGGGGGGAAUAUUGCACAAUGGGCGCAAGCCUGAUGCAGCCAUGCCGCGUGUAUGAAGAAGGCCUUCGGGUUGUAAAGUACUUUCAGUCGUGAGGAAGGUGUUAAGGUUAAUAACCUUAGCAAUUGACGUUAGCGACAGAAGAAGCACCGGCUAACUCCGUGCCAGCAGCCGCGGUAAUACGGAGGGUGCGAGCGUUAAUCGGAAUUACUGGGCGUAAAGGGCACGCAGGCGGUUAAUUAAGUUGGAUGUGAAAUCCCCGGGCUUAACCUGGGAAUGGCAUUCAAGACUGGUUAGCUAGAGUCUUGUAGAGGGGGUUAGAAUUCCAUGUGUAGCGGUGAAAUGCGUAGAGAUGUGGAGGAAUACCGGUGGCGAAGGCGGCCCCUGGACAAAGACUGACGCUCAUGUGCGAAAGCUGGGGAGCAAACGAGGGAUUAGAUAC
RNAcentral lists this ribosomal RNA (453 nucleotides) under uncultured bacterium. RNAcentral describes it as "bacterial SSU rRNA". It matches the Rfam family "Bacterial small subunit ribosomal RNA", at positions 340 to 785 of the family's 1533-position model. The record is from RNAcentral.